CCUACGGGGAGCUGCAGUGGGGAAUAUUGGGCAAUGGGCGCAAGCCUGACCCAGCAACGCCGCGUGAAAGAAGAAGGCUUUCGGGUUGUAAACUUCUUUUCUCAGGGACGAAGCAAGUGACGGUACCUGAGGAAUAAGCCACGGCUAACUACGUGCCAGCAGCCGCGGUAAUACGUAGGUGGCAAGCGUUAGCCGGGUUUACUGGGUGUAAAGGGCGUGUAGGCGGGACUGCAAGUCAGAUGUGAAAACCAUGGGCUCAACCUAUGGACUGCAUUUGAAACUGUAGUUCUUGAGUACUGGAGAGGCAGACGGAAUUCCUAGUGUAGCGGUGAAAUGCGUAGAUAUGAGGAGGAACACCAGUGGCGAAGGCGGUCUGCUGGACAGCAACUGACGCUGAGGCGCGAAAGCGUGGGGAGCAAACAGGAUUAGAUACCCGAGUAGUC
This 443-nucleotide ribosomal RNA is filed under the name uncultured bacterium. Its description in RNAcentral is "partial 16S ribosomal RNA". It matches the Rfam family "Bacterial small subunit ribosomal RNA", at positions 338 to 795 of the family's 1533-position model. The record is from RNAcentral.